Molecule: ribosomal RNA, 427 nt
Filed under: uncultured bacterium
Lineage: Bacteria
Description: bacterial SSU rRNA
Rfam family: Bacterial small subunit ribosomal RNA
Source: RNAcentral
UGGGGAAUAUUGGACAAUGGGGGCAACCCUGAUCCAGCAAUGCCGCGUGUGUGAAGAAGGCCUUCGGGUUGUAAAGCACUUUUAUCGGGAACGAAACAUUGUCGGCCAAUACCCGGCAAGACCGACGGUACCCGAGGAAUAAGCACCGGCUAACUCCGUGCCAGCAGCCGCGGUAAUACGGAGGGGGCAAGCGUUAAUCGGAAUUACUGGGCGUAAAGCGUGCGCAGGCGGUUUGUUAAGUCUGCUGUGAAAUCCCCGAGCUCAACUUGGGAAUUGCAGUGGAUACUGGCAAGCUGGAGUACGGUAGAGGAAGGUGGAAUUCACGGUGUAGCAGUGAAAUGCGUAGAGAUCGGGAGGAACACCAGUGGCGAAGGCGGCCUUCUGGACCAGUACUGACGCUCAUGCACGAAAGCGUGGGGAGCAAACA